RNAcentral lists this ribosomal RNA (499 nucleotides) under uncultured bacterium. RNAcentral's name for it is "partial 16S ribosomal RNA". It matches the Rfam family "Bacterial small subunit ribosomal RNA", at positions 30 to 523 of the family's 1533-position model. The record is from RNAcentral.
AUUGAACGCUGGCGGCAUGCCUUACACAUGCAAGUCGAACGGUAACAGGGAGCUUGCUCCGCUGACGAGCGGCGAACGGGUGAGUAAUGCAUCGGAACGUACCCAGUAGUGGGGGAUAACGCAGCGAAAGCUGUGCUAAUACCGCAUACGCACUGAGGUGGAAAGCAGGGGACCUUCGGCCUUGUGCUAUUGGAGCGGCCGAUGUCAGAUUAGCUAGUUGGUGGGGUAAAAACUCACCCAGGCGACGAUCUGUAGCUGGUCUGGGAGGAUGAUCAGCCGCACUGGGACUGAGACACGCACCAGAGUCCUACGGGAGGCAGAAGUGGGGAAUUUUGGACAAUGGGGGCAACCCUGAUCCAGCCAUGCCGCGUGAGUGAAGAAGGCCUUCGGGUUGUAAAGCUCUUUCGGCCGGGAAGAAAUCGCCAUCUCUAACAUAGGUGGUGGAUGACGGUACCGGAAUAAGAAGCACCGGCUAACUACGUGCCAGCCGCCGCCGUAA